This 328-nucleotide RNase P RNA is filed under the name Alphaproteobacteria bacterium. Its description in RNAcentral is "RNase P RNA component class A". It matches the Rfam family "Bacterial RNase P class A". From Rfam's summary of the family: Ribonuclease P (RNase P) is a ubiquitous endoribonuclease, found in archaea, bacteria and eukarya as well as chloroplasts and mitochondria. Its best characterised activity is the generation of mature 5'-ends of tRNAs by cleaving the 5'-leader elements of precursor-tRNAs. The record is from RNAcentral. Lineage: Bacteria; Pseudomonadati; Pseudomonadota; Alphaproteobacteria.
AAGAUGCACAGGGCAUGGCCGUCUGGCAACAGGCGGAGGAAAGUCCGGACUGCAUGGGACAGCGUACUGGCUAAUAUACCAGGCGGGGCGACCCGACGAUUAGAGCAACAGUGACGUAAACGAUUAAAUUCGAGUGAAACGGGCAAUCUCUGCGCGCAGCAACCUCAAAUAGGCCCCCAAUGUGUGUCCCAAACAGGGGGCGGGUAGAGGGCUUGACAUAUCGCAGUAAUGCAAUAUGCAGAUUAAUCAUGCCCACUACCGCGGCGUGGUAUGCGAAACAUACUGGGCCGCGGCAGGACAGAAUCCGGCUUAUAUGUUCAUCUGCGGC